Molecule: ribosomal RNA, 303 nt
Filed under: uncultured bacterium
Lineage: Bacteria
Description: partial 16S ribosomal RNA
Rfam family: Bacterial small subunit ribosomal RNA
Source: RNAcentral
AGCAGCCGCCGCGGUAAUACAGAGGGUGCGAGCGUUAAUCGGAUUUACUGGGCGUAAAGCGUGCGUAGGCGGCUUUUUAAGUCGGAUGUGAAAUCCCUGAGCUUAACUUAGGAAUUGCAUUCGAUACUGGGAAGCUAGAGUAUGGGAGAGGAUGGUAGAAUUCCAGGUGUAGCGGUGAAAUGCGUAGAGAUCUGGAGGAAUAUCGAUGGCGAAGGCAGCCAUCUGGCCUAAUACUGACGCUGAGGUACGAAAGCAUGGGGAGCAAACAGGAUUAGAUACCCGAGUAGUCCCUGUCUCUUAUAA